UUAUUUUUUGCUCAUGUUCUGUUGUGCCACCUAUUUUUCCCACUUCCUCACGUUCCAUUUUUCUUUUCUUUCUUUCAUUUUUCCUUUUGUUUCUUUCUCUUUCUUCAAUUUCUGUUAUUGAAUUUUCUUUUUCACGCGCAUUUCUUUUGUUGCAACUCCUUCUGUUAGAUUUCUUUAGCUUUCUACUUUUUUUAUCUUUUCUUUUUCUUUCUUCUCGUUUGUUUCCGUUAAAUUGCGAAUAGCACUUUAUUGUUCACUAGGGCCGCUUAUUUUCUGUCGCCAUCAUUUAGAUUGUUAUUCUUCCCGUAAUAAUCUUCAAGUAAGAUUUAUGAAGUGCAUACUCUCUCAGCGAGUUGAGGAUUUCGACAAUAUUCUAUUCAAGGAUUUUGGUGUGCUAUUAUUCUGCCAACAUCCGGAAAGUAAUCAAGUGUGUGGCGCUAACUCAAAAUUUCGUAAAACAGUGAAAGAUUGAAAUUGUUGAUGUCACACGAUCGUGUGUCUGGCCGUGUGCCAGGUUGUGUAAGCCACACGGAUGUGUACCAGGCUGUGUGGGCCACACGGGCUGUGCCAGGUCGGGCAUGUGGGCUCAUUUUCAGUAACCCUCAGGCUUAGGAUUGGGCAGCGUUUGGGGCUCGGAUUGGUCAUUCUCGCAUUGAACGAUUUAAUUUGAUUUCACGAUUAAUCUUGGACGGUUUGGACAGUUGGAUAAUUUUCUGGACAUUAUUUUUGGUUUUGGACUAGUUGUUGAACUUUAAUAUUUUGUUUUCGCUAAACUGUAAAA
Gossypium raimondii (Peruvian cotton) is the source of this 781-nucleotide long non-coding RNA. RefSeq lists it as uncharacterized. Lineage: Eukaryota; Viridiplantae; Streptophyta; Magnoliopsida; Malvales; Malvaceae. The record is from RefSeq and is a predicted model, not a curated record. The transcript is spliced from 4 exons.